This is a long non-coding RNA of Magnolia sinica, 535 nucleotides long. RefSeq lists it as uncharacterized. The transcript is spliced from 3 exons. The record is from RefSeq and is a predicted model, not a curated record. NCBI's taxonomy places the organism in Eukaryota, Viridiplantae, Streptophyta, Magnoliopsida, Magnoliales, Magnoliaceae.
UUCAGGUUGAAACUAGUAAAGUAUUUUUGUGAGAUACUAGCAUCGUCUCUCCAUACUCUAUUUUGCUAGUCGGUGGUCCCAUUAACAUUCAACACCAGUUGAGAUUUGGUGUUCUAGAGGCUGGAGCCUUUGGUGUUUCUCAGUUUAGGAAACGAGCAUUCAUAUGGACAGCUUCUCCAGAAGAGACACUCCCAGAGUGGCCAGAACCAAUGCAUGUCUUUGCAGGCCCAGAACUGAAAAUCACAUUACCAGGGGAUGUACAAUAUGCUGCCGUCAGGAGUACAGCUGGAGGGGCACCCUUUCAUGCAAUAACUGUGAGAGAUACAAUUGGAGAUCUCCCACCUGUUGGAAAUGGAGCAUCUAAAACAGACAUGGAUGUUAAACUAUAUACUGGUCAAAUGGUGGAUUUGAUACCUUGGUGCUUGCAACGGAGCAGAGCUCGAUAAAUGCUUGCAUGAAUGGAAAGAAUCAGGUGUAUGUGAUAUGAAAGAAGUGGAGAUCAAGUUACCAUAACAUAAUUCAAAAUGUUCAACUG